Molecule: ribosomal RNA, 468 nt
Filed under: uncultured bacterium
Lineage: Bacteria
Description: partial 16S ribosomal RNA
Rfam family: Bacterial small subunit ribosomal RNA
Source: RNAcentral
GACGAACGCUGGCGGCGUGCUUAACACAUGCAAGUCGAACGGAAAGGCCCUGCUUUUGUGGGGUGCUCGAGUGGCGAACGGGUGAGUAACACGUGAGUAACCUGCCCUUGACUUUGGGAUAACUUCAGGAAACUGGGGCUAAUACCGGAUAGGAGCUCCUGCUGCAUGGUGGGGGUUGGAAAGUUUCGGCGGUUGGGGAUGGACUCGCGGCUUAUCAGCUUGUUGUUGGGGUAGUGGCUUACCAAGGCUUUGACGGGUAGCCGGCCUGAGCGGGUGACCGGCCACAUUGGGACUGAGAGACGGCCCAGACGCCUAUGGUAGGCAGCAGUGGGGAAUAUUGCACAAUGGGCUGAAGCCUGAUGCAGCAGCGCCGCGUGCGGGAUGACGUGCUUCGGGUUGUAAACCGCUGUCGCCUGUGACGAAGCGUGAGUGACGGUAAUUGGUAAAGAAGCACCGGCUAACUACGUG